CUUUUGGAUGGAGUUUAAGGCAAUUAUUUAGGUGAGAUCUAUCAUUGAAGAAUAUUCUAGAAAGUCCAAGGUGAUAGAAUAAAGUAUAAAUAGGAUUAGCCAUGGCCUUUUAGGACAUCUAGUCAAGUAUGGCUUUGGACCCUUUCUCUUAAUACAAUUGGAUUUUUGUAUCUUCAUUUUUUUUUAAUUUCAAUUGAUCAAUUUUGCCUUUUAUAUCCCAUUAUAUUUAAAAAAAAUUAGUUUUAUUUUGGUCUAGUUUUUCCUACGUUGUGAUGAGGUUUUAUGUUGUUGUAGAUUAAAAAGAUCUUAAACAAUUGAGAUAGAUCAAUCUUAUUUUAUUGUUCU
Molecule: long non-coding RNA, 345 nt
Filed under: Physcomitrium patens
Lineage: Eukaryota; Viridiplantae; Streptophyta; Bryopsida; Funariales; Funariaceae
Description: long non-coding RNA (PPAT_LNC005784)
Source: RNAcentral